GGCAGAGCGGACGACGGACUUGCGUCCGAGUGACGGGGCGCGGGCUGCAGACUGGCUUAAGCCCUCGGUGGCAGACGAAUGUGCCCAGGCUAAGCUCAGGGGACGUGUGUGGCCCCGUGCUAUGGGCCCGCUGUGAGGGUGCCGCCAGGCCGUCGAUCACUGCCUGGACGUGAGGAGUGUGGUGGUGAAGGACACUCCCUGGACAGAGUCGCUUCCCAUCACGGCUUCCCCGCCGGACCGCACCUCCCGGAGCCCUGGCGCCAGCCAGCCCGGUUUAGCGGCCGGACCGGGCUCCCCCGCGGUCCCAGGUCUGGUUGGGGUGGGGGCCGCGGCCUCGGUGACCCCAGCCCGCAGCGGCCCGGCCCGUCCCGUCCACUUAAACAAAUUGCCGCUGACAGGCGCGCAGUCUCUCUGGAGCCGCCGCCCUCCCGUCGCCUCCCUCCCGUCCCAAUUAUCCCGCGCAGGGUGGGGCCAACUGGCUGGGAUGGGGCGGGGGACGCGGGGAGAGCGGGCGGCUCGACUCCCUCCUGGUCGCGGGGUGGCCCGGGGAAGCGUCUCCGCAGCCACGGCCUGUGUGGCCCCGUCCCUGGUCUUCCCGGGGGAUGCGAGGGCAAGGCCCAGCCUGGCAGCUGUGGGCCCUGGAAGGGCGUCGUUCUGCACCUAAGGGCGAGAUCACGCGGCCGAGAACCAAGGCCGCAUCCCGGAUGGACUUCGGGUGACUUUCCCGGAGUUCUGGGGAAUCCCCUAACCCGGGGAGCUGCAGACGACUCACUGGCCCCGGGCCGCGGUUCCGCGGGUGGCCGCUGUACGCUUGAGACACCUGGUCCGCAGAAGUCAGGUGCCCUGGCAGGAGGGACUGGCUUAUGCCACCCUGUGCAGGAUCGUCUUCUCAGCUUACAGAGCCUAGUGUGAUUCAACAACCCUCCAUCUCUGCCCCCAACAUGCCCAACUGAUCUGGUGGAGGGAACUGAAGAUGAAGGCCUCUCAGGCACCAUGGAUGGGAUGGGUGUGUGUGAAGGGGGCAGGGUCCCCAGGAGCUGCCCCAGGUCUGGCUGGACAGUUGCACGGGAAGUCCUGUUUGUGAACUCAACGUUUCCACGGCUUUUCCAUUAAACUUUACCCCAAA
RNAcentral lists this long non-coding RNA (1126 nucleotides) under Homo sapiens (human). RNAcentral describes it as "non-protein coding TBX2-AS1:19". Lineage: Eukaryota; Metazoa; Chordata; Mammalia; Primates; Hominidae. The record is from RNAcentral.